CGCACAUCCUCCGGUCCGCAGCGCUGCAAUUAGUUCGUGUGUGAAAACGCAAGUUAGCGCCGAUUCCACGGACGCGAUCACGGCGAUCGGUGUGCUCCCACGACGCGCGUGGGCCUGCAGGAUGGAAAAUAAUCAUAAUAACAGGCAAAAUUACUCGUUAUCUGGGGAUUCCUGGUUUAGGCUUUCAAAUGUAAGAAAAGCCACAGUCAGGGAGAAAAAUCCCAGGAGAGACUCCAUCAAAUGUCCAGCUGGAGAGGAUGGAUUCACCUCCAUCAGACACAGAACCCACGGAAGUGUGACAUCUGCUGGCUGCCCACUGGCUCACACACCUUGUGUGCCAAAUAACCCAAAGAUCAGAAAGUUGAGCCAUAGUGCCUUUGAAUGAUAUAUUGCCUUCUGGUCUUAUUUCUUUUCUAGAGGACGUUAUUGGAAACCAGAAUGCACUGAUUUGUUCCACGUCAGUCAUGUUGAGUAAAUCAUUUUCAGCUUUCUGCAGCUUCACCUUUUACAACACACCUGGUGACCUGACUUUCAAAAAUACCUUGUUAGUCUUAUAUACAUGUUAAGACAGACUACUACUCCAUGUACUCUGGUUUCCUCCCACAGUCCAAAGACAUAUUUUGGGCAAACUAGUGACACUAAAUUGUCAUUUGUGUUUAUGUGCGAGAAUGAGUGUGUAAUUGACCUGUGAUGUUCUGGUAAGCCAUCUACACACACACAGUCUGAAACCACUUGUCCCAAGCAAGGUCGUGGCAAACCAGAGCCUAACUCAGCAACACAGGGUACAAGGCUGGAGGGGGAGGGGGACACAUCCAGGACAGGACACCAGGCCAUCGCAAGGCACCCCAAGCAGGACUCAAACCCCAGACCCACCAGCGAGCAGGACCCAGCCAAGCCGGCUCUGCAAGCCAUCUAGAGUGUACCAUCUCAUACCUCACAACUCUCGACUGCACUGGACACAGUGAUAAUGGAUGGAAUAACUUGAAACAUGUAGAUGUGUCACAGGCCCCAAAAAAAAAAGUUUAAUCUACACCUUUAUCAUGACAUGCUCCAAGCAAUACAGUCGACCACAGAAUCAGAGCUAGUAUUGACCCGAUCAGUAUUACUGCAGUCAGCCACACAAUAGCUCACAUGCCAGGAGCCGUAGAAUAUAAUCUUCAGAUGCCUAUUUUUCAAGGUAAUUGCAGCUUCUCAAGGUCAAUUUUUUAAGAAUGAAAAAUUCAUGGAUACUGUGCAAAUACUG
This 1243-nucleotide long non-coding RNA is filed under the name Scleropages formosus (Asian bonytongue). RNAcentral's name for it is "lncRNA (ENSSFOG00015026059.1)". The record is from RNAcentral. Lineage: Eukaryota; Metazoa; Chordata; Actinopteri; Osteoglossiformes; Osteoglossidae.